UGGGUUAAGGAUCUGGUAUUGUCACUACUUGGCUCAGGUCACUGCUGUGUCACUGAUUUGAUCCCCGGCCCAGAAACAUCUGCAUGCUGCCAAUGCAACCAAAAAAAAAAAAAAAAAAUGCUAAAGAGCUUCCAUCAGUAUUUAGUAACAUAAAAUCUUAGAGCCGGUGUAUCUUUUCCCUUUAUUGACUCAUUUAAAUCUUUUUUUUUAAUACCAUGAUAUGAAUUUUACUGACCUCUGGGAGUAGGAAACAUAGGUACUAAGCUAAGUAUAGAGUUGUCCACAGUCUCUCAAUGCCUUACACAUAGUAGGUGGUCAGUAAAUGUCAAAUGAAUGCAUGUAUAAAUAAAACAUGUUUGGAGGAAUAGAGAGUACUAGAAACAUGUUGCUUGUUACAUAUUUUGGAUAGUCUUGAUAGACUUCCUUUAAUUCUCAUACUGCUGAUGAGAUAGAAAUUAGACUACCAAUAAAUUUUUUCCUUAAAAUGAGAAAUGAAUAUGUGAGAAUUGAUCCUCAUCACAAGAAUUGAUGUAACACUAUUUGCAAUAUGCUUGUAUUCAUUUUUGCUGACUAUGAGAAAAGUCUUUAUAUUAUCCAUAUUUUACACACAAUACCGAGGCAUUGAAUGACUAAGCUAUUCAUUACCUUGGAAAUAUUUGCAGCAUAGUUAUAAAUAAAUCCUGUGUUAUGUGAGCAAUGCCAUAGGUUUCCUGAAUGAUUGCUUUCUUCUCCAACUCCCAACCCUCACCUUAACUCUAUCUCACUGAAAACACAAAAAUAAAAUGUACAGUAACUUUCUUAGAGUCAGGUAAGAUUAAAUCAUAUUAAAAAUCUGUGUUUUGCUAAACAGAAGUAAUGGGCCCUGUGUUUACUGUAUACAUAUUUAUAAUUAUGGUUUCGAUUAGUCAUUGAAUUCUGACUAAAAAAGUAGAGAUUAGUUCUUGCUUUACAUAAGCUCCUCCAAAGUUUCAUUUUGAAUGGCAUUAGGCAGUCACAUAACAAUGGCAGAGGUAGUGUAGUGAGCCUGUAUCUAUUGCAUCAACACAUCUUGUUUAAGCUUCUCAAAUUUUGGUAUCACUGGUUGAUGAUAUUCAUGAGGCUUGGAAGUACUUCUGGGAACAGUCUUUUUUUUUUUUUUUCACCUUAGUUUAUACCAGUGGGUGAGAGGCCAAUAUUGGGGAUAUUUUUUUUUUUCCCCAGGACCUUAGUGAGGUAGAAUAAACUAUGUUCCUCUGUUAGUCUAACAUUAGAAAUUAAGAGAUGAACCUAAAACAUGCAUUAACUAGAAUACUAAACCAAAUGAUAGCAGAUGCUUCAGUGACUUGUACUAGGAAUUAUAGUACAAAAUCCCCAGGGGGGAGAAAUCACCAAACCCUAGGAUUCCUCAGCAAAAUUGCAGAUUUACCUAUGAUUUCAGGGUUAAAAAAAUAAAGGAAGAAUAAUCAAUAUUUAUUGAGAAUGUAGAUUAUCUAGAUAUAAUUUCUUUCUUUUCUCCCUUCCUUUCCUUUCCUUCCUCAUUUCCUUCUCUCCUUCUAUUCCACAUGAUAAAUGGAUACCUACUCUUUGCUAGACACUGAGCUAAGCCAAGUAGAUAAAGUACUUGCCACCAAAGAGCAUGUAGGCUAGUAGCGCUUUUUGUCUUCACUUAUUGUUAGUAUGAAGCCUGUCAAUUUACCUAAUCUUCCUAUUCCAUUGUUACUUUGGAAAAUUGGAACAAUAAUAGUAUUUACCUGAUAUACUGUUGUGCUGAGUUAGAUAUAACACAAUACAUAUUAAAAAAAAAAAAAAGGUUCAGUAGUUGACACGUGGGAAGUGCUCAAUAAAUCUUAGCUACACUGCUAUUAUUUCUAUUACCACAACCACCACUUCUACAACCUAGAUACUGAAGAAAGACAAUCUACUUGCCCGAGAACAGGGAUCCUGGUCUGGAUCUUCGCACAUAAAUUUUCUUAAAUGUUCUAUCCAAAGUUACCUCUGCUUCUAGGGCUUUAGAGGAAAUUCUACAAAUCACAUAGUUUUAGAACCUGAAGGAACCUUAAUGGUCAUCUUUUUAAUAGCUUUGUUUUAUCCAUGAUGAGAAAAUAAGCUCAGAAAAGUUCAUGUACUAGAGGUGAGGAGGUGCGGGAUUUGAAAUCAAAACUCUUGAUUCUUGGUCUAGUGUGAGAUGCCUGGUAUCAAAAAAUACUAAUUUUUUUCUACCAGUGAUUUGAGGGUUGAUUGCUUAUCUCCAGGAAGUAAUUGGACUGUGUCAGGUUGUUGGAAUACUAACCACAAGACAAGUUAUCUCUGCACUGAAUCUAGAAGACCUUCAGGUUUCUCAUAAACUGUGUAAUUUCAUCUAAAUUAAUGGAAGCCUUUCAGUUUGUGUUUGUGAAUAAUUGGUUUCUUCUUAAGGAAAAUAAACUGAGUCAAGAUUAGCAAGACAUCUUAUUAUACAAGUGACUUUUCAGGUGCUUUAAAGGAGCAUGCAAAUAUCUUAAAUAAAUCAGCCUCUUAGCUGAUGACAUUUUUAGGGUGUUUGGAUUCUAAUUCUUUUUCCUGACUUUGAAUUUAGGAGCUUUGGAAUUCAAAUGACCUGCACUGAAAUCCCAGUUACAUAAUUCAGUAGCUGUGUGACCUGAUCAAAGUUGUCUAACCUUACUAAGCCACCAUAUUCUUAUCUACAAUAUGGUGGUAACAGUGUCUACCUUUUUAAUGCUGGAUGUGAGGAUUAAAGUAGGUAUACAAAAUACUUUAUUUAGUGCAUAAUGUAGACUAGUGCUCCCCAAAUACUAAUUUUAUUUUCUCUCCUCCUGUUAAAAUAUAAAAUACGUUGUGAUAGGCAAUUCAGGAAUUUGGAGGAAGUAGAAGAGUCAUUCAUUAAGAAAAUUGAUUUUUGCAAAGCUAUGUCUUUGAUGGUUGUGGUUGAGUAUCUCAUUUCAGCUUGGUUCUAAGUGUGCAUGCUACAUGUCUGUAGAAGCUGGGGCUAUUUAAAGAAAAAUUCAAGAUAAGGAUAAUCACAUCCACUCAAAUGUCUGUUGAGGAGUUCCUGUCGUGGCUCAGUGGUUAAUGAACCUGACUAUCAUCCAUGACGAUGAGGGUUCGAUCCCUGCCCUUGCUCAGUGGAUUAAGGAUCUGUUGUUGCCAUGAACUGUGGGUUCAGAUGCGCCUCAGAUCUUGAGUUGCUGUGGCUCCCGAGUUGCUGUGGCUCCUAUUGGACCCUAACCUGGGAAACUCCAUAUGCUGCAGAUGUAGCCCUAAAAAGAC
RNAcentral lists this long non-coding RNA (3246 nucleotides) under Sus scrofa (pig). RNAcentral describes it as "lncRNA (ENSSSCG00045015695.1)". The record is from RNAcentral. Lineage: Eukaryota; Metazoa; Chordata; Mammalia; Artiodactyla; Suidae.